Long non-coding RNA from Papaver somniferum (opium poppy), 3703 nucleotides. RefSeq lists it as uncharacterized. NCBI's taxonomy places the organism in Eukaryota, Viridiplantae, Streptophyta, Magnoliopsida, Ranunculales, Papaveraceae. The transcript is spliced from 4 exons. The record is from RefSeq and is a predicted model, not a curated record.
ACCAAAGACUUCCUCUUCUUCACUAACUCUACUGCCAAAAAAGAACUUCUAGGGUUCUUAAUUUAGAACGCUUACUUAUUCUACAUAGCAAAUUAAGUAAUGGAAAACCUAACAAAAAUAAUGAUCUCAAAUGUAUUAAACACAAAUACAGAAAUCUUAAAUGAAAAGGGGUGAAAAAUUACAAAUCUGAAGUGAAGUGAUUGAUUCUCUCUGCAGCCUACAGAAAGAAAGAAAGAAAGAGAGAGGGAAACAUCGUUCAAUUCGGUCGUAUUUGUUUAACACUCAAGAAUUUAAAGAUACGAGCCUCUAGAAAUUCUUGUUACUCUAGUAUUUCUGUUUCAUGUUUCAAUUUCAGUAGAUCCACUUUUAUGGAACUCCAUAGUGUAUUCUGUUUUAUAUUUUUUUGAUCCUAGGGGUGCUCAAGAUUCUACAUCCAAAUUCCACUUGCAAAAAUUCUAGUUUUGGUCUUAGAAGAAGACAGUAGUGAAUUUUAUCCUACCAUACCGACCUUUUUUUUAAUUUGAUCAGAACAUUUGAGCCGCAUUAUGUUAUAGUAUGCUUCCUAGCCUAGCUAACUGAUUAUCCUUUUUUUUUUGGUAAGCAAAAAUUGAAAUACUGAAAAGGGCAACUUACAUGAUUUUGUUGAGAGCCUGAACCCCUCAAUCCUAUCAUAGUCUAGAAGUUCAAAAUAUAACUAGGUGGAUCUCCUUGAUAGUUACAGGCUGUAAUUGCAUUGGUUUUGAGCCAAUGCAAUUGCUGCCUGAUUAGCUUUCUUAGUUACAAGAGUAAAAACAAAUGAUUUUUGUUGUUGGCAAGGCCUCAAAAAAUCAGUCCCUCUGUUACUCCGAACAGAUUUUGCCCGCCAUUCCAUUUUGCACUUGAGUCCGGUAGUCAUUUUGAUGAGGUUACUGCUGACAAGCUUCAACGAUUAUGUUUGACUCUUCUUUUAGAAAGCCCCACUUCCAAGCAUUAAUCGCUGCUAGCGCUUCACCCAUCUCCUUAGUCUGAGCUCUUGUUGCUGUGACAUUCACUUCCCUGCAAUAGCCAAAAACAUUUCUUAGAAUUACGGCAGAAAUAGAGAGUUUUGUUAUCGGGUUCCAUUUAGUAGGCACAUUUAUUUUAACCACUCCCAUUGAAGGACAUCUCCAGAUAUUAUCCAUUAGUUGUUGUCGGGGGUUGGUGUUCAGAACUGGUUUGGUCUUUCUGAUUUUAAAGUUUUCCUCCCAAAAGUGAUGAGCUCUUUCAAAUGUUUGCUUAGGGUUUGGAGUAAUUCCUUGGUAAAACUUUUUGCAUCUAGUUUUCCAUAUGUGCCAGGCAAUUGCGGCACAAAGAGCAUCAUAAGGGCCUCUAUCUGAUGACCAACCAGUUGGGGUUUGAUUCCAGCUAAGAAUCCAUUGAGAGACUGAUUGAGAAGAGCCAUCUGUUGGAUACAGACCAACUUGCUCGAUACCUUUUUGUGCUCAGUUUCAUAUCCAAUUUGUUCGGUUUGCAUUUAUUUGGAAAGGUUGGCACCAGGAUCAAACUAGUAAUCUCAAGUAUGAAUAUUAGUCCCCUAUUCAGAUGGUCUACUUUCAGUUGGUUACUAAAAUCCCACCCGGUAUUUCAUAAUAUAUGUUUUAGCAACUGGUCACCACUCUCAAUCUGUGGUACAUAAAUCAUCUUUUCGUCCUAUCGAUAUUGCAUGUUAUUCCUAAAAUCUCUUUGAAGUUAAUUCAAUCUUAUGUCCAGAGAUUGGUGAAUCCUACUGUGUAUUACAACCACCUGUUUAAAUCAAGUAUUAGAUAGACACACAUUCUAAAUGUACAUUGGAUAGAACUUUAACACACAUUUAGAACAGAGAUAUACGAACAGGAAAUUUUUAUUUUCUUCACAAACUUAAAAGAUUCAAUCAUCUGAGAAACCUCACAUAAGCAGAAAUCCUUGAAUUCCAUAAACUUGUAAUUGACACUUCAUCAAGCAAAUAACCUGAAACCGACAGUUUAAACCCCUUUGAAUAUAUAUCGAAAACUCUAAGACAAUUAGGCACUGGUCUUUAGUACUUGAUUAUAUUGUAGUCUUUUUUUCAUUAACAUAUGCCGAUAGACACAUAGUUUUUGGAGUUUAACUUUGUAGAGUGGUUCUUUCAGGAAAUGGACCAAUGGGGCAAGAAGCAUACAUACUCCGAGGCUCCCGAGAUUCCUGGUUGGGUGAUAGGGCUGAUCGUUUCUUUACUGGUUGUGCUCGUGGUAGGGGGUUAUUUCAUGGUCCAGUGGUGUGUGAAUCGACACCGACGCCGCUUUCAUGUUGUGGAGGAACCACACAUAGAGCUACAGGAAGUCGUAGUGGAGCAACCGUGAUUUGAUAUAUCUAUGGGGAGAUAAACAGGGGUGAUCAAUGACAUAGAGUGCCUUUAUCAUUUCUUUAGUGCCUUUAUCAUUUCUUUAUAACAACUGACAGUUAUCUUUACAGUUAACUCUGCCUGAUAUAUAAAGGCCUCUCUGUAUUCUUGGUUUGAGAAAUGAAAGAUAUUUUGUUCUUGGUUCUAUGAAAACCACUAUGGUAUCAGAUAGAGAAACUAUGUAAGAUCAUGUUUCAUGUUUCAGAUCUACUUUUCAAUUUCUUCGUUUUCCUUCAACAAUCACUAAUCCUUUUUCUCCAAUUUGUUUCAAUAUCGAUCAAUUUUUUGAUUCGUCUGUCCUGUUUCUUCAAGAUCUCAGAUCAAUUUUUUAAAAUCAUUUUUUGAUUUUCUUUCUGAAAGUGUCUUUAUUCAAGAUUUCGUUUCGUACUCUAUGGAAAAUCCAACCUCAGACUCAGAUUUGCUAGAGUUUCGUCUACUCACUCAAUUCAAUUACGAACCAAACAUCUAUCCAUUAAACAAGGUGAUAAAUCAAUACCUUCUCUUAUAAAUGGAAUUAAAUUGCUAUCUGAUCAACUAGCUACAUCCGGUUCUAGAGUUACAGAUGAUGAAUUAGUUGUUGUUAACUUGUCUGCUUUUAAUUCUGAGUAUGCUUCAUUUCCAACCUCAAUUCGUAUAUGCUAUCCUCCUGUUUCUAGCAUUGAGUUGCAUAACUUGCUUUUGUGUGAAGAAUGAGUUAUUAGUGAAUACAAUAAAUCUCUUCAUGUUGAGUCUACUAAUUUGGCCUUUGCUACAUCCACAAAUCAAUCUAAUAGACUUGGAAGAGGUUUUGGUCGAGGCUACUCUAAUUUUUCUUCUAGAGGUGGUUACUCUAAUUUUUCUCCAAGAGGUGGUGGUCGUGGUUACUUCAACUCUGACAGAGGAUUUGGUCGUGGUAUAUCUCACACUCCUGCAAGCUGUUUCUCGACCUCCUCCUCCUGAUCUUCAAUCUAGUGAUCGUCCUACCUGUCAGAUUUGCAGAAAAUAUGGUCAUGAAGCUCCAGAAUGUUGGAAUCGUCUUAACUUUGCUUAUCAAGGUGUGAUCCUCCUCGUAAUAUUCAAGCAAUGCUUUCUUCUACGAACAUUUGGGGAAACUCCAUGGUAUAUGGAUUCUGGUGCUAACAACCACUUGACUUCUGAUGCCACCAAUUUGGAUGCUUCUACUUCCUACUCUGGUCAUGAGAUGGUUUCGACAACUAAUGGAGAAGGACCUGAAAUCAGGGAGGAUCCUCUUCAAAGGUCCCAGUGAACAUGGUCUUUAUCCUCUGCAUAAAUACAUUCGCUUCGCUAAAGCAUUAUCCUGUGUUGCUGCUUGCUCUGGAAUCUGGC